UGGGGAAUUUUGGACAAUGGGCGAAAGCCUGAUCCAGCAAUGCCGCGUGUGUGAAGAAGGCCUUCAGGUUGUAAAGCACUUUUGUCCGGAAAGAAAUCCUUGGCUCUAAUACAGUCGGGGGAUGACGGUACCGGAAGAAUAAGCACCGGCUAACUACGUGCCAGCAGCCGCGGUAAUACGUAGGGUGCAAGCGUUAAUCGGAAUUACUGGGCGUAAAGCGUACGCAGGCGGUUUGCUAAGACCGAUGUGAAAUCCCCGGGCUCAACCUGGGAACUGCAUUGGUGACUGGCAGGCUAGAGUAUGGCAGAGGGGGGUAGAAUUCCACGUGUAGCAGUGAAAUGCGUAGAGAUGUGGAGGAAUACCGAUGGCGAAGGCAGCCCCCUGGGCCAAUACUGACGCUCAUGCACGAAAGCGUGGGGAGCAAACAGGAUUAGAUACCCUGGUAGUCCACGCCCUAAACGAUGUCAACUAGUUGUUGGGGAUUCAUUUCCUUAGUAACGUAGCUAACGCGUGAAGUUGACCGCCUGGGGAGUACGGUCGCAAGAUUAAAAC
Molecule: ribosomal RNA, 552 nt
Filed under: uncultured bacterium
Lineage: Bacteria
Description: partial 16S ribosomal RNA
Rfam family: Bacterial small subunit ribosomal RNA
Source: RNAcentral